ACUCUCAUUAUACUUACCUUAUGGUUUGGUUUUUUUUUCUGGCUAGCAUGCAAAUCUGCCUUGUAAAGAAGUGUUAAUUGAGCCAGGGAGACAAAUGAGGAAUUUGACUUAAUGGAGCGUUUGUGUCAGAUGGAGGUAUCUCAGAUUUGAGUCCCCACUCUGGUAAUUGUUAUACAAAAGGAAACCACCUCUACAAGAACAACAAAGAGAAAUUUUCUUUGUAUGUACUGCAGUUCCCAGGAGACUUUCAAAGGAGCAAAUUCUAAUCUUUUCUCCAAAGCAGGUAACCAGGAUGCACAACAUAGAUGCAUGGGUCUCCGAACUAUCCUGCACUGAAUCUGCCAAUCAAAUGGAUAUAUGUGGAUCUCAAAAGGCCUUACGUAUCUAUUUGGUGGAUCUUGAUUCUUUUUUUUUUUUUCUGACGACACGAAGAAAUGUCUGAUGAAGGGACAUAUUUGUUUCUUCUGAUUAUAAAGUAAAUUUAUGAUAAUCUGUGAUUUUGAGCUAGAUCCCCAAAUUUCAGGAGCCUAAGUGAGGGCAGAUGGAUCUCAACACCCAAAACCUUUGCCGUGAAAUAAUGAUGUCAACUGAGCAUAGAGAUGUGCAAAGUUAUUGUUUGCUGGUUUUUUUUCUUUUAAUAUAUGCAAUACACGAAGAUAAUAAUCUGAUCAAUAAUGUGGCUUUUUAUUUUAUUUUACUUUAUCUAAGAUGCAUUUGAAGCAUCUUAAGAGAUCAUUACAAUUUUCUUUCCCAGUACCUCCUACAGUCAUUUUCAGACACGUUUUGUGAUGGAUUCUGACAUGACAUGGAUGUGGAUGUGAAUGAAGAGUUUUUACCUUGUCCCUGUUUAAAAUAUAGAAGACUAGGAUAGUGUUGUACUUCUAUUUGAAAGUCACAGAAUAUUACAGUACUUUAUACAACACCGAUUGCAACCAACAACCUUAGAUUUAUGCAUUUUUCAAUUUAUUUCACUAUGUGGAAAAAAAAAAAAAAAACCUUUUCUGUGUUAACUUUGUUUUUUUCAGACUCAGGAUCACAUGUUUCUUAACCUUGGAUUGUAUCUCAGCAGUAUUGAUUACUUUAGUGAAUACUUCAUUGCCACUUGUAUAGAUAUUCUGUUCAUUAUAGCAUACUCUCACACUAUAGGCAGGUCAAAGAAACAUUUAUUAUAUAUGCACAGAUACUGAGAAAUGAAGUUGUCAGCAUCAUUCAGUAUGUCACAUAAAUAUUUCCCUUAAGAAUUAUCUUCUUCUUUGCGGAGUUCUUUAUUUGUAUUCAUAAGUAUGUCUCCCUUCUGAUAAAAAACAAGAUUAUAUAAAUUCUGUUUUCCCCCAGUGUCUGCAAAACAUUCUAAUACACAGUGCUCUGCAGUUUCUCUAUUAUGUACUUCCUUCACUGUUUUCUGAUUCUCACCAAUGUUUAUUCUCCCUUUUAAAUUACUUUUUCCCACUCUGAUGCACAAACCUUGAAUUGCUACAUUUUUCUGUGGUCUGCUUCUGUUCUUUCAGUCUCUGCAGAAUUGCAACUUUAAUUAAAGUAAAAAGAAAAAAGGUCAAUAUUUAAAAAAUGGUCUAAGUUCUGGAUAUGUUGAUUUCUAGAUUGAUACCACAAUAAUUAUAUUAAGCGAACUAGCAUUUAAGUGGCUGCUCUAACUCUACAUUUUUAAGUCCAAGGUUGAUGUUUGUUCAUACAAUAUGUGCUUAAACUUGACACCAAAUAAAUUGCUCCAGUUUUGCAAUCCGUCCUCUUAAGAACACCUUAACAUUUUUUGUCCUUUGUUAAGAUGGCCACAUGGAUUGGAUUUGACUCAAAUGAAGCUUUCAAGGUGUUGUUUAUCUGGUACAAACAAUGUUCCUGAUGGCAUACUGUGGUCUCCUCUCUUAUCUCUGAAGAACAAAGGCAAUUUGGAUCAAUUUAUCAGAAUAUUCCCAUAUAUUUAUACUUCUCUGAAAGCUGAGAUAUGGCAAAACCAAUCAGUCAAUUCCCUGUCCAUAUUUUAUGUAAAGAAAAUCAACCAAAAAAAAGUGAGCAAGUGUGAGUGCAAAAUAGUAGCUGCUUUUCUUUCCUGUUUGCUGGUUUCCCUGCAGGAACUACUUCUCUCCAGUCUUUUGAGAACUUGGGUAGCUAAAAAAUUAAUGUAAUUGGAACACCUUGGUAUUGCAAGGCUUCCAUUCCUUGCUCGUUUUGCAGCCUGCCAUUUGAAGCAAGACUAAUUUCUGCAGGUGUCUGUGUCAUGUGGUUUGUUCAUAUCUUUUAGAAAUAGAAAAAGAGCUGAACAGUUCCUGCAUGAGGAACAUUAACGCAGAAAUAAAGUUGAAAAGCUCAUCAUGCUGCUGUUGCAAGAAGGCUUGGAGUUCCCAAACUGUCCUGUAGCAGGAUAAAUACUGGUUAUAAAUGAAGAGGGUUCAAAACGCAAUACUCCAUAGCUCACAUGAAGAAAAAUGAAAUAAUUUAAAAAGGUAGACUGGGAAGAGAUGGCAGCCCUGGGAAGUUGCACCUUGUCAGUAGAACUUAUAUCCCUGCCCAAAACCUGCUGUUGCUCAAUGAAGUCAUUCAAAAGUACUGUGCACAGGAAUGCCUUAGCUUACCCAAAAUGCACUCUGCUUUUAAAAUAAAUUUCUGUUCUUAUCUGGGAGAUCACAGUCACCAAACCUAUGUCCAUAAAGGUUCAUACCACACUGUUUCAGAGCACUCUCAUCAGACAGUGCUGCAUUACUAGGUAUAUACAAGGGAUACAGCUGAAGAUCUACCAGCUACUUAGAUUAAUUAUCAUUACUUAGCAAACAGCUGGUAGAUAAUCUAGACAGUAUAAAGGGCAGUGUUGGAACACUUUCACUGUGGGAGAUGGAUCUAUUUGCAUUUGUCUCCUGUUGUGGUUUCUUAGUAUGGCACUUGCUUGCUUGCUUGGAGUGGAGGUAUAUGCUUCCUCUGAGAACAACAAAUUAUGCUUCUAAUAGGUAAAUCUGGAAGCGUAAUUUUUAGACCCACAGAGUGAAAUACUUACUUAUGUACAGAGGCACUUGGAUUUCUUUACAGAAAGAGAAUCAAGCACUUCAUAAAAGGAUGUAAACAGCAGAGAGUUCCUACAGCAUAGCACAAUAUUUGUAGCAGUGUGCUUGAAAACCUAUUUCUCUCCAGAGCCCAAGUUCCCUAGAGAGAUCUAAGGCUAAGGAACCAUCAUUUGGGAGUUAGAAUUAAAAAAAAAAAAAAAAUCACUAUUUUUCAGUAGCACAUUAAUAGCAUUACUCUUUCAAAAAGCCUAAACAGGCUGAUUUUUUUUGAAAGGGGUGGUAUGCACCAUUUAUGAUAACCUUGUGGCUGAACCUAGGAAAGGUGAGCUUGAUUUCCCCUUCCUUUCGUCUCAAAGACUACCUUGGCCACCAGAGCUUCUCAGAUACUCUGACAGAGGCAUUGAAUUCUAGCAAUAGAAAGGUUAACGUAUAAAUGGCCUUAUGUUCACUGCUCUAGUCAGAAAUGCUUCUUGGAAUGCCAGGACAUUAUGCCGUUGUGAGUUUCUGACUUCAUCCAGCAUCAGAUAAACAGAAUUUGUAUGCUGCAAAAUAGUGAUCAACCUUAAUUUUGUCAUGUGGCUUUUAUGUUGGGAUGUAAAAAUUGCACUCCAAAAACUCAGCUUUACCUACUUAAAACAUACUAUCAUACCUUAAUAAAAACUGCCUCCCACUUAAACAGAGAUUUUUUUUCUUUAUUUUUUAGCUGUGAAACAGCUAGGAUGCUGCAGAUGUCACAGGAAAAAUGAUUAAUAAUCAUCAUCAUGAGUAAGAGCAAAAGGGCAAACGAUGGCCCCAGAUCAGUUCUGGAUCCUAUUUUUGGCUGACAAAAGCAAGUCAUAAGUCUGACAGGUUUAAUAAACUGGUAUUGGUGUUGAAGAUUUUGUUUCAAGAUUGUUUUAGUUGGAUAGAGAAGUAUAUGUAUUUUAUCAAAAAAUUGCCAAUAAAAGCAAUAG
Gallus gallus (chicken) is the source of this 3964-nucleotide long non-coding RNA. The record is from Ensembl. NCBI's taxonomy places the organism in Eukaryota, Metazoa, Chordata, Aves, Galliformes, Phasianidae.